CAACAACUGUAAAAAUGGAAUUACAAUAACACACAAAAGUUUUGAGUUUUCGUGGGAUAAGUGACUUACAGCUCUCUAACAUUAUCUCAGAGACUGAAGGAUCAGGCCUGAAUCUGCUCUGGUUUUGCAAUCCCCUGUCCUGCUCAGAGCCUACCUUUUCGCAAAUCUGUGGGGUACGAAUUCAAGAGAAAGACAAGAGUGGAACACUCACACGUGGUGAUAACUCAGUCAAGUAUCUGGCAUACUGAGACUUCUUUCAGGAAGGCUCCCAUGUGCUGGAGGAGGCCGCAG
RNAcentral lists this long non-coding RNA (291 nucleotides) under Mus spicilegus (steppe mouse). Its description in RNAcentral is "lncRNA (ENSMSIG00000020094.1)". The record is from RNAcentral. Lineage: Eukaryota; Metazoa; Chordata; Mammalia; Rodentia; Muridae.